Molecule: ribosomal RNA, 1158 nt
Filed under: human gut metagenome
Description: bacterial LSU rRNA
Rfam family: Bacterial large subunit ribosomal RNA
Source: RNAcentral
CAAUCGAACCCGGAGAUAGCUGGUUCUCCCCGAAAUAGCUUUAGGGCUAGCGUCGGAAAGAACCUUAGUGAAGGUAGAGCACUGAAUGUGUGAUGGCCCCAUCCCGGGGUACUGAAUACAAUCAAACUGCGAAUGUCAUUAAGGAUGUCCGGCAGUCAGACUGUGAGUGAUAAGGUCCAUGGUCAAGAGGGAAACAGCCCAGACCGCCAGUUAAGGUCCCAAAAUACAGGCUAAGUGGAAAAGGAUGUGGGGAUGCCCAGACAACUAGGAGGUUGGCUCAGAAGCAGCCAUCCUUUAAAGAGUGCGUAACAGCUCACUAGUCGAGUGACCCUGCGCCGAAAAUGUACCGGGGCUAAGCCUGAUACCGAAACUGCGGAUUGUAGGAAACUAUAGUGGUAGGGGAGCGUUGUAUACGAGCAGAAGCCGUACCGUGAGGAGCGGUGGAUUGUAUAGAAGUGAGAAUGCCGGUGUGAGUAGCGAGAUGUAGGUGAGAAUCCUACACACCGAAAGCCCAAGGAUUCCAGGGGAAGGUUCGUCCGCCCUGGGUAAGUCGGGACCUAACGCGAGGCCGAAAGGCGUAGUGGAUGGAAAGCAGGCGAAAGAUUCCUGCACCCGUAUAUGGAGCGAAGGAGUGACGGAGACGGAUAGUGUGACCCUCUUAAUGGAUUGAGGGCGAAGCGAAGCGGCUGGUUACCAGGCAAAUCCGGUAACCAUAAGGCUAGAGCGUGACAGGUAAGCGAAAUCUUAGGAAAGUAGCGAAGCACAUGAUGACGGCUUCCAGGAAAAGCUUCUGGCAAUGCAUAUGCGGCCCGUACCAAAACCGACACAGGUGGGCAGGGAGAGAAUCCCGAGGUGAGCGAGAGAACUGUUGCCAAGGAACUCGGCAAAAUGACUCCGUAAGUUAGCGAGAAGGAGUGCUUAAGCAAUUAAGCCGCAGUGAAGAGGCCCAAGCGACUGUUUAACUAAAACACAGCUCUCUGCGAAGUCGCAAGACGAAGUAUAGGGGGUGACACCUGCCCGGUGCUGGAAGGUUAAGAGGAUCUGUUAAGAGCGAUCUGAAGCAGUGAUCCGAAGCCCCAGUGAACGGCGGCCGUAACUAUAACGGUCCUAAGGUAGCGAAAUUCCUUGUCAGGUAAGUUCUGACCCGCACGAAAGGUG